UUGAAUUGAAGAGUUUGAUCAUGGCUCAGAUUGAACGCUGGCGGCAGGCUUAACACAUGCAAGUCGAACGGUAGCAGGAAGAAGCUUGCUUCUUUGCUGACGAGUGGCGGACGGGUGAGUAAUGCUUGGGAAUCUGGCUUAUGGAGGGGGAUAACUACUGGAAACGGUAGCUAAUACCGCGUAAUAUCGUAAGAU
Molecule: ribosomal RNA, 195 nt
Filed under: Bibersteinia trehalosi
Lineage: Bacteria; Pseudomonadati; Pseudomonadota; Gammaproteobacteria; Pasteurellales; Pasteurellaceae
Description: partial 16S ribosomal RNA
Rfam family: Bacterial small subunit ribosomal RNA
Source: RNAcentral